GUUUCUGUAGUUGAAUUACAACGGUGGUUUUUCGGAUCGCUGGUCUUGGUAGUACGGGCCAAGUAGAAAUG
Molecule: transfer RNA, 71 nt
Filed under: Cyrtodactylus tigroides
Lineage: Eukaryota; Metazoa; Chordata; Lepidosauria; Squamata; Gekkonidae
Description: tRNA Glu
Source: RNAcentral